CGGUGGCUGGAGCACCAGAUCAUACUAUGGGGGUGCAGGGUCAUAUCGGGGUGGCUCGAGAUCCUUCUGCUACAGGGGUGGCACAACCUGUGGCAGCGGGAGAGGGUCAGGUAGUUCCCUCUUUUCCUCCCAAGCUUGUUGGGAAGCAAUGAGUCUCUCCACCAUCUUAAAUAACUGGUCAACAUCUUCUCUAAGCGAACUCUCCCGAGCUGCUCGGUUUAGUGGGGGCCUUCCCCUCCUUAUCUAUCUGUACCUGCAUUACACAAGAAAUGGUUGAGUGACAAUUUAUUAUUUUUGGUGUUUCUUAAAGGUCUUGUGUAAGGAAU
Molecule: long non-coding RNA, 326 nt
Filed under: Carica papaya (papaya)
Lineage: Eukaryota; Viridiplantae; Streptophyta; Magnoliopsida; Brassicales; Caricaceae
Description: long non-coding RNA (CPAP_LNC006037)
Source: RNAcentral